GGGCCGCUAGCUCAAUUGGUAGAGCAGCUGACUCUUAAUCAGCAGGUUCAGGGUUCGAGACCCUGGCGGCUCACCA
Molecule: transfer RNA, 76 nt
Filed under: Chloroflexi bacterium RBG_13_51_36
Lineage: Bacteria; Bacillati; Chloroflexota
Also listed under: 2 other names
Description: tRNA-Lys
Rfam family: tRNA
About the family: Transfer RNA (tRNA) molecules are approximately 80 nucleotides in length. Their secondary structure includes four short double-helical elements and three loops (D, anti-codon, and T loops).
Source: RNAcentral